This is a long non-coding RNA of Hyaena hyaena (striped hyena), 395 nucleotides long. RefSeq lists it as uncharacterized. Lineage: Eukaryota; Metazoa; Chordata; Mammalia; Carnivora; Hyaenidae. The transcript is spliced from 3 exons. The record is from RefSeq and is a predicted model, not a curated record.
AUGAUCAAGGAAGAAUUCAGGAGAAGGAUGUAAAGGAUUUAUGUAAUCCAUAAAAGAAGACAUAAUCUGACUGUUCCCUGAGUGACUGAGAAGUAGAUACAAAAAAAAGAGAAAAAGACAAUUGCUUCAGGAGACUAAUAAAGGCUUCAUGGAUCAGUUGCCUUGGGGGAAAGCAAGAUUGUAAGAACAAGGUGUCAUAAGUAAACAGAUGUAUGUAAGCAGUCACAUAGGUCGUGGUGUAGGCCUAGAGAUAAGUGAUAUAAGUGGUUGGACUUCAAUGUUCAGUGACGUCUGUCAGGAGCCCAGGCUGGUGGGGAGGCUCUGCUAUCCCCAUCCUGUGGCUCCCAGGCCGGAUCUAAGGUAGUAACUGCGGUUGUCAUUACCCAACCAGUGGG